GAUGAACGCUGGCGGCGUGCCUAAUACAUGCAAGUCGAGCGAACGGACGAGAAGCUUGCUUCUCUGAUGUUAGCGGCGGACGGGUGAGUAACACGUGGAUAACCUACCUAUAAGACUGGGAUAACUUCGGGAAACCGGAGCUAAUACCGGAUGAUAUUUUGAACCGCAUGGUUCAAAAGUGAAAGACGGUCUUGCUGUCACUUAUAGAUGGAUCCGCGCUGCAUUAGCUAGUUGGUAAGGUAACGGCUUACCAAGGCAACGAUGCAUAGCCGACCUGAGAGGUGGAUGGACAACACGGAACUGGAACCCCGUCCCAGCCUCCUACGGGAGGCAGCGGUAGGGAACUUUCCGAAAGGGGCGAAAGCCUGACGGAGCACCGCCGCGUGAUUAAUGAGGUUUUUGGGAUCUAAAAACUUUUUUAUGGGGGAAAAACAUAUGUGAAAUUACCUGUCCACUUCUUGACGGUCCCUAAUAAGAAAGCCCCGGCUAACUCCGUG
RNAcentral lists this ribosomal RNA (497 nucleotides) under uncultured bacterium. RNAcentral's name for it is "partial 16S ribosomal RNA". It matches the Rfam family "Bacterial small subunit ribosomal RNA", at positions 28 to 507 of the family's 1533-position model. The record is from RNAcentral.